UUGCCAACGCACACGUCUCACCCACCUUCAGAUGAGAUCGAGUUGUUGCUAUUUAUGAAUAUUCAUUCAUCUGCUCGACUGAUCCAAUUUCCUGUUUCUGUUCCAAUGGCAAAUGUGGGGUGGAAAAUCUAAUUCCUUCUCCAACAGCACGAUUUCACUCUUUUGCAACAAUGAGUAGGUUUCUUUAAUCCCGACACUUUUAAUUAUUAUGGGUUGAGGCUACCAACCUGAGCGUGUUCAAGCAGGAAUGUAUUUUUUAUUUUAUACGCUCACAGCGUCGUUACCUUUACUUUUAUUAAUUAUGUACUUAUAUAUAAUUGGAGGUAGUGUUUCUUUAUUUUACAGGGAAUUACUUGAGAGCACGUUGUUGUACGUAAAUGAGUGAUCAUGUCAUUCUUUUGGAAAACGAUGAUGUCAUACUAAUCCAAUCUCGCUGAGAAUUUGUUGUUUGGAAUAAUGGUAAAUAUUUGAUGCAAGAGCGAAGCGACAUUUAUAUAAGUUAACCACCAUCGCCACGUAUUGUUUGUCGAGUUGAGAUUGUUGACUUGCAAAUCAGUUUAAUUAUUACACCAUAAUAAACUCAAAUAUGUGAUUUCUGUUUU
This is a long non-coding RNA of Folsomia candida, 602 nucleotides long. RefSeq lists it as uncharacterized. The transcript is spliced from 2 exons. NCBI's taxonomy places the organism in Eukaryota, Metazoa, Arthropoda, Collembola, Entomobryomorpha, Isotomidae. The record is from RefSeq and is a predicted model, not a curated record.